This 253-nucleotide ribosomal RNA is filed under the name uncultured bacterium. Its description in RNAcentral is "partial 16S ribosomal RNA". It matches the Rfam family "Bacterial small subunit ribosomal RNA", at positions 524 to 776 of the family's 1533-position model. The record is from RNAcentral.
UACGACGGGGACUAGCGUUGUUCGGAAUUACUGGGCGUAAAGCGCACGUAGGCGGAUAGACAAGUUGGGGGUGAAAUCCCGGGGCUCAACCUCGGAACUGCCUUCAAAACUGUCUGUCUAGAGGUCAGGAGAGGUUAGCGGAGUACCGAGUGUAGAGGUGAAAUUCGUAGAUAUUCGGUGGAACACCAGUGGCGAAGGCGGCUAACUGGACUGAUACUGACGCUGAGGUGCGAAAGUGUGGGGAGCAAACAGG